Molecule: RNA transcript, 959 nt
Organism: Equus caballus (horse)
Lineage: Eukaryota; Metazoa; Chordata; Mammalia; Perissodactyla; Equidae
Gene name: collagen alpha-1(I) chain-like
Source: RefSeq, a predicted model, not a curated record
UGACCUCGCACCUGCCCGCCGCCCCGGGGCCCUCGCCCUUCCCCUCGGCCCCUCGGCCCCUCGGCAGAGCGGCCCGGGCCUCGACGCGGGGUGCGGAUGGCGAGCCCAGCCCCCUUCCCGGGCCCACCGCCUUCUUCUCCCGGAGCUCGACCUGGUCCUCUGGGACGACCUGUGGGCUCACCAGGCCAGCAGCCCCCUCGGGGCGCCCAGCGCUCCAGGAGGAGCACCUACCCAGGGGUGCGGAGCUGGAGGCGCUGAGAGGGCAGAGAGGCCUGGACCCUUUCCUGCAGCCCCCGGCGCACAGCCCCUUGGGCUAAGGAGAUCUGAUGCGGGGUCACGCCAGGAGAGGUGCUUCCAAGUGAGAUGUGCGCUGUUGGGGACCUCACAGCACCCCUGGGUGACCUGCCCUGGGAGUUAGCCAAGGUCCCGCUAACUCGAACACCAGCUGCUGCGCCCUGUCCCAGAACCUAGGAACAGCGUGCCGACCGGGAGCAGCCCGCACGUGUGAGGCCUGGCCGCCAACGCCUUUAUUUUACACGCUGAAACCCCCAUCUCUUCCCUGGGUGCGUGGGAGGUCGUCCUGCUAGAGAAAUUACCUUUGAAUGUACACACGACCCAGGAGAAGAGCAGGUGGCCUCAGCUGAAUGUCCCACACCUCGCCCUGCGCUUUGUCCAAGAUGAGUCAAAGUUUGUGGCCCAGAGAAGGAAGCUGCAGCGCCCCCGGAAAGGAGCCUGCGGCUGAGUAGCCGGGAAAGCAUCUGAAUGAGGAGACAGUGGGCCAGAUUCCCAAGGGAAGUGGUGCCGCCCCACAGCUCGCGGCACUGGACUGCUGAGGCGGCUCAGCCAGCCCUGGGGCAGCACUGAAGGGAGUGUGGACAGGUCUGGCCCAUGUUUUGUCUGUGAUUGCUGGGCGGGGUCUCUCGCCUUCUCCCCCAAAUAAAACAUAUCCUGACUUAGCA